GGAUGAGGGUAUUUCUAUGAUUUAGCUUGCUCUUUCCCGGUCCAGGGCGACCCGGAAUCACCAUGGAGGAAGAGGACGGGGGGAUGCUCCAUGGAAAUUCCCCGCGCAUGGAGGACGACAGAAGCCUCAUCAUCAUAAUGGGCAAGUGAGCAAGUUGGGCCCUCAAUGAUUCUUCCUUCCACAACAAGUUGCGCCAUUGGCAUUUGUUGAAGCCAGCAAUCACCGGAUGUUGACAUGAAGGGAUCAUAGGACUGCAUCUGUUCUCCUCCGAUUUCCCCAAGCUUCUGGUUGGUCGGUCAGUUUUCAUCAUUCCGCCACUUGGCCAAUUGGGCCGACACCUUUUCCAGGAUAGAGAACUUGAAAAGGCCUCACUUAGUUUGAGAAAAUUUUGGAAAUUUUCAUAAAAAAUGGAAAGCCUGUAAAAACAAAAUGUGUUUAUUUGUUUAAAAUGAAGAACUAUUUCUCAGGAAAAAGAGAUUUUUUUUUUUAAUUUCUCAAACUCAAAGCAACUCAGACAAGUCUUUUUAACAGUUUUCCAAUUUUCUAAUAUUUAAUUGGAGGUUCAUUCAUCAAUUGCUUUUUGCCUAUUUAAUUAUAUCAAUUCUUCUCCCUUUAAUUGAAAAGUCUCCAUUAUUUAUUAAAUAUAAUAGAAUAUAAGUUGAAAAUCUUCAAUUUUGAGUUUGUAAACAUAAUUUUUCAAUUUUUUUAGAGAAAUAAAUUUUAAAAAGGAGAAGAAAAAUAAAUAAGACUUUUCUAAAAGUAAGCAAACCCCAAUGCUUUUACUUUUUAAUUUUUUUUUCCAGUUAUAAAGGAAGCUCAUAACAUCAUACAAGAAUAGACAUAGUAAAAUUAAAUAAAUGGACACUAGAGUCCCACUAUGGUUUCGAUGGUGACUUGUGUCAUUACUCCAAAUCUCUUUCCGUAGUUGAACUUCUAGCUUGUUAGCAACCCUUAGGACAAACUAAAAAAAUACUAUAUUUGACAACAAUAGGGGCCCUAAACAGGCUUUUAUUUUGAGCAGUUCGGGGCUUUAUCACGAGGAGCAUUUAAGUAUCGAUGUCUACGACAAAAUAUAUUCACAAUCUUACUUUUACUUGGGUUUACAUCAAGGGAAAUCAUCACCGCACCAAGCCCAAUUCCUCGAAGUCAAAUCCAGAGAACUUCAAGAUCAACAUAAAAGUGAAUAAUACCAAAAGUUUACGCUACACUUCUGUAGCAUCUCAAAGAAACAGGAAGUACAAAAUAAUAAAAAGAGAACCUCGAAACAGAAAAAUUCACGGACAUCCUUCAUCGGAGCGCCUCUUCUUCUUCUUGAUGUCGCUCACAAUAAGGGCGCUCUAUAGACUCCGUCCGUCUUGGACAGAAAAUCCUGCUCGAUCUUUUACAGAGAGUCUAUCUGCAGUUUAAAAUUGGCUCUUUCAAUCAACCGCAAAUGCAUUCAGGAUAUGGGUUUUCGUAGAAUGACUCUUCAGUCCUGAAGCAUGCUCUGCCUUUAAUCCCAGGUGUCGCGUGUCCUUCUUUUCCUUGGAGCCAGCCCCCUUGCCUGUAAUCGGGAAAGUACUGAAAGAAAAGAACUAUUAUCCUUCACGAAAGCUAUUUCAGCAUACAAUUUGCUGCUAAAUAACAAUGUAUGGCGGAAGGGAAGGCUUCGCCUGGUUCUGUUUGUGUUACGACUAAUAGCUACUCAACAACUAUUGUAUGGCGGAUGUGAUUGGAUGGUUCGUGCAAAGAUAGAUAUACAACUUGACCGAGGAGAAGGGCCAUGCUACGCACGAUCAUCAAUAUCCGCUGAUAUAAAUAUGAAUGAUAUCUUUUAGUUAUUAUUAAGUAAUGGCAUGUCAUCAAAAUUUAUAUAGAGAUUCAUAUAAUUGAUAAAUAUUCAUUGAAAUAGUUAUUACAUAUUAUAUUUGAAAAGGAAGAAAUACUUAUUUACCUCA
Molecule: non-coding RNA, 1937 nt
Organism: Punica granatum (pomegranate)
Lineage: Eukaryota; Viridiplantae; Streptophyta; Magnoliopsida; Myrtales; Lythraceae
Source: RefSeq, a predicted model, not a curated record